Notechis scutatus (mainland tiger snake) is the source of this 150-nucleotide non-coding RNA. The record is from RefSeq and is a predicted model, not a curated record. Lineage: Eukaryota; Metazoa; Chordata; Lepidosauria; Squamata; Elapidae.
CAUGAACAUAGAGGUGAUUUUUGGCCAGAAGAAUCAUUUUUUGGGGUGUUGUCUGUUGUAACUUCAAAUGGUUGCUCAGUGACUGGUUAAGCAAGGACUGCUUACAUAGCAAAAUUUUUGCUACCUAAUUAUAAUCUUUGAGGAUUACAA